RNAcentral lists this long non-coding RNA (1357 nucleotides) under Equus asinus (donkey). Its description in RNAcentral is "lncRNA (ENSEASG00005028095.1)". The record is from RNAcentral. Lineage: Eukaryota; Metazoa; Chordata; Mammalia; Perissodactyla; Equidae.
ACUUCCGGGCCCCCGCGCGCGCCUUGUAAGGGAGCCGUUUGCUGCUGCAGGUUUGUGUUUAAACAGAUGAGGCGACACAGGCUUUUAGGAAUGCAGACACUGGAGCGGGAAUAACUCAGGAGGUGUAAACACAGUUCCACCUUGUCCCCGUGCGUCCCUCCAACUGGGACUGCAGGUCAAGGGCACUUGAGCGCACCGGUUCCGGAGGAGACGCUGGGCCGCGAACCGAGUGCUCAGCGGACGUGGGCUGGGAGGAUGUGUGACCGCGCGCCCGCCAGGGCGGCUGGAGAGACAUGCGUUCCGUGGACCACCAAAGAUCUCAAAUGAUCCACUCUCUUUUUGGAUACAACCUGUACCGCACUGUGAGCUUCACUGAUAGUCAUGGGGCGUCUCACUUGUAUUUCUGCUGCGACACAGUUCGGCUUGCAACCUGCUGUACCGCCAGAGAAGGACCGGGGUUGGAGAGGGUGGAGUUGAUCCUUCGCCAGAAGAGGCCACCCUGAAGAUCCCUGUCCUCCCCUCCGGGUUCUUCGUCGCGGAGCAAACCGUGUGUGCCUUAAGGGCAGAGACGUCUGAAGAAGCUCUCAGGACUUUUCCAAUUGGACGACAGUUAUGAAGGCUGUUCCUCCAAACCUGCUCUGGAAACGGGAGAAAGCAUCCAGGGAGAGAGAGACGACGAUGAAGAGGAAACCUGAGUGUGAAAGAGGAAAGGACAGUAAGCAAGCGAAUGUCAGCCAUGGCUUCUCUGACUUUCUUCUUGGAAUUUCGGGGCAACAAACAAAACUGAGGAGACCUCAGGGUGUCCACUCGCCCCUGCGAGGAGAUGACUAGUUUCUGGGCAAAAGCAGUGUGGGCGAGGGAAGGAUGCCCGAGGCCUCCUCCCCAGAGAACUGACAGUUCUUUAUUUUCAAGAUUGCUUAGCUUUAGAAUUACUAUCAGUCAGGGUCCAAACACUGAUAGAGACACCAUGCUGAUUAUUUUAAUGGAAAGAAUUUAGUAUAAAGAAUUAUGACUCAACUGUUGGAGGACUAAAAAGGUGAAAAAAAAGGUACUGAAGUAUCAUGGAGAUUUAACUGCAAGAAGCAGCUGCCAGCCCAAGGCUGAGGGAACAAAGGGAAGAGGUUGGAGGUGGCCUGCGUGGCUCAGGCCCUCCCUCUGAGGAGGAGGCACUGCCCGGUGGGACAGGAGCCCCAGGAGCUCGAAGGUCUUGUGGAUCUGGACACAGAACUCUGAGGGGGGGCCCUGCCAGCUGGUGCUGGUGUCUGAGGAGGUGUGAUGAGGCUGGUUAUGGAAGUGUUGGGAGAAUGGCAAACUGCAGCUACUGGAACCAACUGUUGCUGUCAGGGUGAAGAGCAGU